Molecule: ribosomal RNA, 497 nt
Filed under: uncultured bacterium
Lineage: Bacteria
Description: partial 16S ribosomal RNA
Rfam family: Bacterial small subunit ribosomal RNA
Source: RNAcentral
GAUGAACGCUGGCGGCGUGCCUAAUACAUGCAAGUCGAGCGAACGGACGAGAAGCUUGCUUCUCUGAUGUUAGCGGCGGACGGGUGAGUAACACGUGGAUAACCUACCUAUAAGACUGGGAUAACUUCGGGAAACCGGAGCUAAUACCGGAUAAUAUUUUGAACCGCAUGGUUCAAAAGUGAAAGACGGUCUUGCUGUCACUUAUAGAUGGAUCCGCGCUGCAUUAGCUAGUUGGUAAGGUAACGGCUUACCAAGGCAACGAUGCAUAGCCGACCUGAGAGGGUGAUCGGCCACACUGGAACUGAGACACGGUCCAGACUCCUACGGGAGGCAGCAGUAGGGAAUCUUCCGCAAUGGGCGAAAGCCUGACGGAGCAACGCCGCGUGGGUGAUGAAAGUCUUCGGAUCGUAAAACUCUGUUAUUAGGGAAGAACAUAUGUGUAAGUAACUGUGCACAUCUUGACGGUACCUAAUCAGAAAGCCACGGCUAACUACGUG